RNAcentral lists this long non-coding RNA (422 nucleotides) under Mus musculus (house mouse). RNAcentral describes it as "long non-coding RNA chr17:25958366-25958788". The record is from RNAcentral. Lineage: Eukaryota; Metazoa; Chordata; Mammalia; Rodentia; Muridae.
UUACAAAACAAAACACUUUUAUUUGGUCCGUGGAGCCUGAGUGGAAAUGGCCUAUGGGGUGCAUCAUCGAACAAGGAAGGGACUGACAGCUGAUAAAAUAGUCUCUGUGUUCGAAGAGCUGGUCCUAUUUACAGGGUUAAAAAUAUUCACAGCUCAGAGUAAAAGGAGGCCCAGAGGGAAGGGGAAUGUUUCUCUAGGUAUAAAAACCCUAGCAAGCCCCAUGGAGGCAGGGACAGUGGGCUUGGGAGCUGCCCCUACCUAGGGGGCUGCACAACAGUGGCCCAGGAAAUGACUCAGGCGUCCAUGUGGCAGGUAAGGGCUCUGAUUUUGACAAGCAGCUGAGGGAAUGCUGGGCAGGUGGGCAGCUUGGCUCCCUCAUCUAGGGGAGGGAGUAGUCAGUCACACCUUACAUGUGCCUGUGA